RNAcentral lists this small nucleolar RNA (106 nucleotides) under Leersia perrieri. RNAcentral describes it as "Plant small nucleolar RNA R71". It matches the Rfam family "Plant small nucleolar RNA R71". From Rfam's summary of the family: R71 is a member of the C/D box family of snoRNAs containing the C (UGAUGA) and D (CUGA) box motifs. Multiple nearly identical copies of this snoRNA have been identified in Arabidopsis, and it is thought to function as a 2'-O-ribose methylation guide for 18S ribosomal RNA. The record is from Rfam by way of RNAcentral. Lineage: Eukaryota; Viridiplantae; Streptophyta; Magnoliopsida; Poales; Poaceae.
AUCCCGUGAUGAGGACAGGCGGCAACGUACUCCUGUAGACACUCCCAUGCUUCGAGAAUCGACUCAUCCUUUGUCUACUGGAACCUGAAAUCCUCCCGCGAAGGGC